UACGAAGGGGGGCUAGCGUUGCUCGGAAUCACUGGGCGUAAAGCGCACGUAGGCGGAUCUUUAAGUCAGGGGUGAAAUCCUGGAGCUCAACUCCAGAACUGCCUUUGAUACUGGGGAUCUCGAGUCCGGAAGAGGUGAGUGGAACUCCGAGUGUAGAGGUGAAAUUCGUAGAUAUUCGGAAGAACACCAGUGGCGAAGGCGGCUCACUGGUCCGGUACUGACGCUGAGGUGCGAAAGCGUGGGGAGCAAACAGGG
This 255-nucleotide ribosomal RNA is filed under the name uncultured bacterium. Its description in RNAcentral is "partial 16S ribosomal RNA". It matches the Rfam family "Bacterial small subunit ribosomal RNA", at positions 524 to 777 of the family's 1533-position model. The record is from RNAcentral.